Vicia villosa (hairy vetch) is the source of this 284-nucleotide long non-coding RNA. RefSeq lists it as uncharacterized. The transcript has 2 exons. NCBI's taxonomy places the organism in Eukaryota, Viridiplantae, Streptophyta, Magnoliopsida, Fabales, Fabaceae. The record is from RefSeq and is a predicted model, not a curated record.
UCAGAAUUGUUGUUUUUGAAGAAAAUCAUGAUGAAGAGAGGUAUCAUUGUCCUAAUGCUGGUGGCUUUGUUCGCUCUUUUUAACCAGAGCUAUGGAGACAAUUUGUGUACUUAUUUUGGGUCGGAAUUGUCACCAUGUGUUCAUAGUUCUUCAUACUGUCGUAGAGAAUUUAAAAGUAAACAUGGGUUCUAUCCUCAAGAUUGCACUUGUAGAGAAUUUAUGAAGCACCAUGUUUAGUUUACUUUAAUAUAUGAGUUAUUAUAUGUUGGGUUCUUCCAUUUUAA